AGCCUGAACGCUGGCGGCGUGGCUAAGACAUGCAAGUCGUACGGAUGUAGCAAUACAUCAGUGGCGAACGGGUGAGUAAUGAAUCGCUAAUGUACCCCGGACUCUGGGAUAGCUGCCCGAAAGGGCAGGUAAUACCAGAUGAUAUAUCCUUAUCGCAUGAUAGGGAUCUCAAAGGUCCGCCGGUCUGGGAGCAGGCGAUUUUGUAUCAGCUAGUUGGUGAGGUAACGGCUCACCAAGGCGAUGACGCAUAGCCGGACUGAGAGGUUGGCCGGCCACAUUGGGACUGAGACACUGCCCAGACUCCUACGGGGGGCUGCAGUAACGAAUCUUCCGCAAUGCACGAAAGUGUGACGGAGCGACGCCGCGUGUGGGACGAAGCCCUUCGGGGUGUAAACCACUGUCAGGGGAUAGAAAGUUCUGAUCAACCCCAGAGGAAGGCACGGCUAACUCUGUGCCAGCAGCCGC
Molecule: ribosomal RNA, 465 nt
Filed under: uncultured bacterium
Lineage: Bacteria
Description: SSU rRNA
Rfam family: Bacterial small subunit ribosomal RNA
Source: RNAcentral